This is a long non-coding RNA of Lucilia cuprina (Australian sheep blowfly), 4021 nucleotides long. RefSeq lists it as uncharacterized. The record is from RefSeq and is a predicted model, not a curated record. Lineage: Eukaryota; Metazoa; Arthropoda; Insecta; Diptera; Calliphoridae. The transcript is spliced from 3 exons.
UGUAAAAUCAUGAUUGAAAAUUAAAAAAUUCGCGGAAUACUUUUUUAAAAAAUUUUUCGUUUGCUUCUUUUAAUUCUCCUCUCUACAUUACUUGGGAACUCUAAAGGGUCGAGAGUUUCUGCUCUAUCUAACGAGAUGGUAAUUAAAGCAAUCCACGUUCUCAUUUUUUUAUUUAGUGUUCAAACACUGCCACAACGGGAACAUUGAAGGGAACUCCGGCAAUAAUUGGUACAGAACGAAUACACCGACCAUUUUAAAAUGAUUCGGAGAAACUCAUUCAGUUUAGAAUUGCUACAAAACUAGAGUUAUUAUAGCGCCUCUCUACAUCUAGAAUGCUAUAACACAAUCUCACAUUGUGAGAACGAAGGGAAAACUAUAAUAUUAAGCUUGAAUUAUCCCCUUCCGAAGAGGAAUUCCCCCAAAACAGUAUGUUCAGCUGCAACAUACCACAGAAGCGUUCAGCAGUCAAUAUCAUAUUCGUCAGUCUGUAAAGGAUCUUUCAGUGCCUUACGGUAUGUACAAGCAAAUAUAUACCACAUAGGUGAAGAAUCUACCAAGGUGACAUAGUCCGUAAAACGUUGCGCAAAUCUGACGGUCAGUUAUAACCGACUUGUUCAACUUAUGUUAAGCAAUAGACUAUGACGUUCUAACAAGUACCUUAAACAUAGUUUCCAAGAUCUCGAGUAAUUCAUGAAAAAAAAUAUAUGUCCGUAUAGAAGAGACUGAACCUCUGACUCUCACAGUUAUUUAUUGAAUACAUUAACGCAAUUUACUAUGAACUAGAAUGUGAUUCACACAGUUUUCUAUAUAACAAUAUGUAACACACACAAAGAGAGAAAAAAUUUUCUUCAGAUGACUUUGUGACUCCUACAAGACUGUGAUUUCUAUAGACGAGAGUAUUCUUCUCACUGUUUUUUAUAUUACACAGUAUAACUCACGCAGUUAACUAUAAAACAGAAUGUGAUUCACACAAUUUUCUAUAGAUCAACGUAUGACUCAUACUAACAUAAAGAAAGAUACAAAGACUGUAAUUUCUUUAAAGAGAGUAGAACUCUCACUGCUCUCUAUAUAUAAUAUAGUAUAACUCGCUUACUUAACAGAAAGUGAUUCACACAGUUGUCUAUAGAAUAACGUAUGAAUUAUACUAACAUAAAGAGAGAAAAGUUUUCUACAGAUGUCUUUGUGACUCAAAAAAGACUGUGGAACGAGAGUAUUCUUCUCACUGUUUUCUAUAUAAUACCGUAGAACUUACGUAGUUAACUAUAAAACAGAAUGUGAUUCACGCAGUUUUCUAUAGAACAACGUAUGACUCAUACUAACAUAAAGAGAGAAAAGUUUUCUACAGAUGUCUUUGUGACUCCUACAAGACUGUGAUGUUUAUAGACGAGAGUAUUCUUCUCAUUUUUUUUAUAUUACACAGUAUAACUCACGCAGUUAACUAUAAAACAGAAUGUGAUUCACACAAUUUUCUAUAGAACAACGUAUGACUCAUACUAACAUAAAGAGAGACAAGUUUUCUACAGAUUACUUUGCGACUCAUAGAAGACAGUGAUUUCUAUAAAGAGAGUAAAACUCUCACUAUUUUCUAUAUAUAAUACAGUAUAACUCGCGAAGUUAACAGAAAGUGAUUCAUACAGUUUUCUAUAGAACAACGUAUGACUCAUAUUAACAUAAAGAGAAACAAGUUUUCUACAGAAGACUUUGUGACUCCUACAAGACUGUGAUGUUUAUUGACGAGAGUAUUCUUCUCAUUUUUUUUUAUAUAACACAGUAUAACUCACGCAGUUAACUAUAAAACAGAAUGUGAUUCACACAGUUUUCUAUAGAACAACAUAUGACUCAUACUAGCACAAAGAGAGAAGGGAUUCUACAGAAGACUUUGUGACUCAUACAGUUUGCUGACAGUGUAACUCUCUCUCUCUAUUAGUGUUAUAUAGAACAGUUGCGUGUUUAGUGAUUCUAAUUCAGUGAAGAGUUUAUAAUGUAUUUUAUAGAAGAGUUUAUAUUCACAUUGUUUUCAAUAGAAAAGUAUUUAACUCACACAGUUUUCUAUAGAAUAGUUCUUUGACUUACAUACAUACACAUUUUUUAUAGAACAGGGUGUGACAGGCACUUUUUCAAUAGAAGACUCUGGGAAAAUCUUAAUUAAUAACAUAAAAUAGAAUAUAUAAAAUAAUUUUUAUUUUAAAUCAAGUUUAUAAUAUAAAACAAUAAAAAUAAAAUAAUUAUUUAAAACAUUAUCUAAAAUAAUUAUUUAAAAAUCUUAAUUAUAAUAAAAAUCAUAAAAUCUAUAUAUUUCCGGUAUAAAAUACAAUUCCAGCUAAAGAAGAAAUCAAGUAAAUAAAAAUUUUGCACCUGCCUUUUGGCUAUUAGAUAAAGACGGUGAAAAUCAAAGAAAAAAUUAAAUUUAUUAAACUAACUAGUGCCAAAAUUAUUAAACCUUUAAGAAAUAGUAAAAAAUAAUUAUUUACUCAAGUAAUAAAAAAACACACAAAAGAACAACGUACAACAGCAUGAAACAAAAUAAAUGAAAAGAAUAAUAAAAUAAAACUUAAACACAUACACAAAGAGGAAAAGUGUUUUUAUUUUUUUCAUCUACGUUUCAAUUGAAAUGAGGUUGAAUUGAGGUGAACUAAUUAAAAACAAAACACAAAAAACACUCAUACAAAAAGUAAAAACCAACAACUACAACAACGAACUUAAACACAAAAAGAACAACAAAGAAAAAUGCUCUUAAAAUUUUUUGCGUUUUAGUUUGUUAUUGUUGUUAUUGCUGCUAUUGCGUGUUGAGAAUUUCGAUGAGUGUGUUGAAAAGCAAAAUUCAGAGUUGAAUAUUUUGUGACAAUAAAAGGGGAAAUUAAAUUAAAAUAAAUAUUGUAAAUGAGAUAGGGAAGAGGUAGAGAAAGAGCAUUUUAAAGUAAUUCAUACUCAUUUACAGUUGGGCGAUUAGAGUUCAGAAAAGAACUCAUAGGUACAUAUGGAUAUUUUAAAUCAGUUUUGGAUUUAUCAAUACAAAACUGAUUGUAACCCCUACAUGUGGUAACAGAUGUUGUAAAAGACAUCCCUAGAGGACACACACACAUAGUGGAUAUUAUCACCGAAAAGUGAUAAGAGAGAAAUGGUGGUGGAAAGAUCAAUUGAUACGUGUUUUUCUACAAGUACUGAUCAGUACCUUAUACCCGAUAGCCCUAAUGAUAAUUAUGUUAUUGUAUGGCUCCUCUUAAAAAUGCGAAAAAAAUCUUAUAAAUAACGCACUUUACACAAUAAAAUGGCCUUAAAAAGGAAGGAGAAGAAAGCAAUUUCAAUGUGAUAAAAGAAGAAAUAUUCCAUUUACUGAUAUUUUUCCAAAGAAAGCUGAGCAGAAAAAAAAAACAAACAAUAUAAACAAAGAAAAUAUUGUAAAUAAAAGAAGUAAAAAUACACAAAUUUUUUAUAUAUAUAAAAUGUUUAAAGAUAUGCAACAAUUUAGCACAUGGAAUCAAAGAAACACAUAUAAGUAAUGUUUUUCGUUCGUAAUUAUAAUUAUUAAAAUUAUUAAACCACACAAUUACUCUGCAAUAUUACACACUUGAAAGUAUUGCGAUUCUUUUGCCAGUAAAAAGAAAGACAAUAAAAGUAUAUAUUUUUGUUAAAGAAAGAAACCAGCACAAAGCCAUUUUGACAAAGAUUUAUUUCAUCGUUGAAAUAACAAAUAAAAAGAAGGAGUAACAGAAGAAGAUUUUAAAGUAAAGAAAAUAAAUUGUUGAAAUAAUUAAACAAUAUUAUGCUUGAAAUGAUACGAAAAUUUGUAAAUUAUUGCUUGAGAAAAUAAAUGACAUUUAAGCAACAGCCGACAAUAAUAAAAAAAAAACUUUUUUUUUCAACAAAUAAAGCAGCAAUAAUAAUCAUAAUUGUGAUGACAGCAAUAAAAGAGAUAAAAAAGUAAUUAUUAGGGUUCUAUAAAUCGACUUUCGAAUAAUCGAACAAUCGACUUUUUGUCCAUAAAAGUGGAAAAGUCGAAGUCGACUAUUUUGUUCCAAAA